RNAcentral lists this ribosomal RNA (434 nucleotides) under uncultured Lachnospiraceae bacterium. RNAcentral's name for it is "bacterial SSU rRNA". It matches the Rfam family "Bacterial small subunit ribosomal RNA", at positions 341 to 792 of the family's 1533-position model. Lineage: Bacteria; Bacillati; Bacillota; Clostridia; Lachnospirales; Lachnospiraceae. The record is from RNAcentral.
ACGGAAGGCAGCAGUGGGGAAUAUUGGACAAUGGGGGAAACCCUGAUCCAGCGACGCCGCGUGAGUGAAGAAGUAUUUCGGUAUGUAAAGCUCUAUCAGUAGGGAAGAUAAUGACGGUACCUAACUAAGAAGCUCCGGCUAAAUACGUGCCAGCAGCCGCGGUAAUACGUAUGGAGCAAGCGUUAUCCGGAUUUACUGGGUGUAAAGGGAGCGUAGACGGCAUGGCAAGUCUGAUGUGAAAUCCCCGGGCUCAACCCGGGAACUGCAUUGGAAACUGUUAAGCUAGAGUGCAGGAGAGGUAAGUGGAAUUCCUAGUGUAGCGGUGAAAUGCGUAGAUAUUAGGAGGAACACCAGUGGCGAAGGCGGCUUACUGGACUGUAACUGACGUUGAGGCUCGAAAGCGUGGGGAGCAAACAGGAUUAGAUACCCUGGUA